Non-coding RNA from Caenorhabditis elegans, 50 nucleotides. The record is from Ensembl. Lineage: Eukaryota; Metazoa; Nematoda; Chromadorea; Rhabditida; Rhabditidae.
UUGGUGCCCUAGAAUUCCAAAACUAGGCCACAAACUUUAAAUGUCUGUAA